CUUAAUCACUGUGUAAUUAUGUCCAAGCAUCAGUCACUCGCUGAGUGGCUUCUGCAGAACACUGACCUGGGGGAAAUGUUCCUUGUUUGGAACAGAAACCACGAAGCUGGAAAUUCUCAGGGUAACGUUUCUGGUCCUGCUUAGGAAAAUCAUGCUGGAACGCCAAGCAUCUCCACUGUCUUCUGUCCUGACAGCUUUUGUUUGGGGUUUUCAUUUACGAAAGGCAAGGAUUUGGCAGAGAGGGGGAAAUCUGAUGGCAGCGCAAGGAAACAACAACAACAACAACAACAAACCCGAUUUCUGCACAAAAUCUGCAAUGGAAAAUAACCAGAAAUUAUUUCAUCUGCCUCCUUUGAGAAGCAUUUGCAGGGCCGGCCCUGGGGCUGCCCUGUGCUCACCCACAUCCCCGGGCGUCACGCUGCGGCAGCCACGGAAUUGGCAGCAGAACCUCUUGGUGCCGCGAAACCUGAUUAUUUUUUUAUUAUCAUUUAAUAUAUUUUGGGGGAAUAACAAGAAGAAAAAGCCCUCUCCAUGCUCUACACAGACAGUGCUUCCAACAGGAGAAGAGAUGCUCUCCAUCCUCCGCUGGAGCUCCGUGGCGUCUUUGGGAGGACCGUCCCGCGUGCCCCUAUAUGUGACCCACACCGGAGGGCAGAGCCCCUCGGUGGGCUGCAGGGCACCAGGUGCAGAGCUGGGAGAGGGGCACACGGCCCCAGCGCAGCACCAGGAGGGCAGCCAGGUGUAACAACUGCGUCUGUGCUGAUCAUAAAAUCAUAGAAUCAUUAAGGUUGGAAGACCUCUAAGAUCACCCAGUCCAACCCCAGCCCAGCCCACCAUGCCCACUGACCACAUCCCUCAGUGCCACAUCCCCACAGCUCUGGAACACCUCCAGGGUUGGUGACCCCACACUACCUGUGCAGCUGUGCCACUGCAUCACCACUCUUAUGGAGAAGACUUUGUUCCUAACACCCAACCUGAUGGCAGCACCGUGCCCACGUGCAGCAAGGACCACAGAGAAGAUCACAGAACGCCCUGAGGGAGCCAUCGCAUCCAACUCCUGGCUGUGCACAGACAACCAAAGAGGAAACCUGUGUACCUGAGAGCAUUUCCCAGUGCUCUUAGAGCCAAUAUCCUUCUCAUUUUUGGUGCCCCGGGCCCCGACAGGACCAGCAAGAGUGACAGCUUCACCCACCUGCAAGAAGAGCGAUACUGAGGAGUAGAACUGGAGCUGUCUGCUGUAAAGCACCCUGCCACUGGGUCAUAGCUGUGUUAUGUAUAAAUCAGUACACAC
Long non-coding RNA from Gallus gallus (chicken), 1291 nucleotides. RefSeq lists it as uncharacterized. NCBI's taxonomy places the organism in Eukaryota, Metazoa, Chordata, Aves, Galliformes, Phasianidae. The transcript has 3 exons. The record is from RefSeq and is a predicted model, not a curated record.